Molecule: RNA transcript, 4575 nt
Organism: Erpetoichthys calabaricus (reedfish)
Lineage: Eukaryota; Metazoa; Chordata; Cladistia; Polypteriformes; Polypteridae
Exons: 7
Source: RefSeq, a predicted model, not a curated record
ACCAGGAAGUAGUUUGCAGUGCCAUUUAUCACCGUGGUUCGUUUCAUUCAACAUGGAGAUAGCAUAUUGGUAGGACAUUAAUGUACCUUGAGAACACAAUUAUUUAUGAGUAUAUCAACCACAUGGCCUGAAAGCGUUUAUCUGAACCGCUUGCUAUAAACAAAUCGCCUUUAAAAAUGAGCACGAACGCAGGAUGUGUGUUAUCUGGUCACCAGUCCGUUGAGAGGCUGCAUGUUGGCGGCAAUACCAAAAGUAAAUACGGGGUCUUUCAACUAGAGGAGGACAUCCUACAGCCAUUUGCUGAAUGCAAAAAUAAGAUGGACAACUGUAGCAUCGUUUCCCUUUCCAAAGAAGAGCGUAUGUCGGCAAUCGAGCGGGUGGUGAAAACCGCAGUCGAGACUGUUGUGUACGUUAUUACCAGGCUGAACGAUUGCACCAUCCGCGAUCUGCAGCUGAGGAUCGCUGAAAAGGAGAAAGAAAACGAACUGCUGAAAAUCCGGAUGGAACUGACCGAGAGAGAGCUGACUGGACGUAUUCACCGUCUGACCGCACAGAAUGCAGCUGUUACCAAGAAUAAAAGAUCUGAUGAUCCAGCAAGCGAGAGGCGGUUAGCCAAGCAGCUUGUAGGUUUACCGGCGGAGCAGGGGGGCUUGUCUCCCGCCGUCACGGAGGUAGAGAACAGUGCCGUAGAAAGUGAUACGGAGCAGGAGGUGCUUGCUGACAGUGAUUUCUCUGGUGCAGAAGAGGGACUCCAAGGAGAGAAACUUGCCUGUGUCAAAAACGAACCCCUUGAUUGGAAUUUUUUUGAAGUUACCUUGGUCAACGGACCUGUACCACCUGAACAAAACUGUGGCUUGUUACAACCAGGAUCAAAUUCAAAUAGCCGUAAUGUUUUUGAAGUAGAAUCAACAUCUAUUAAAGAUGAAUCCAUGGAUGCACGGCCUGUCAUUAUCAAAGAGGAGGCAAAUGAUUGUGAAGGUCUGGAUGUAUCAUGGGAAGUUUCUAAAGGAGGUAGUUCAAACUGCAUCCAGGAAGAAGGUCUUAAUAAAGAAUUACUUUUAAAACACAAUUCUGUGCACAUACAUCCAGGCCUUCCAAAAGAAUUUUGUUAUGAUUUAAUAAAAGAAGGCAGAGACUGGAUAUUUAAAAAUGGCAAUUUUGGAAGUGGGACUAAUUUUUAUCAACAUGAGGGACCAAUGUACUCCUACAGCUCAGUAACACAGAAAAUGAACAAGGUGUCUGCAACAGAAAUGCAACAUUGUUACCUGGGAAGACUUAAAGCAGGCACAGAGAGGGGAAGGAUGCAGAAAGGGAAAGAUCAAAACAGGUUUACCCUUUGUGCUAACAAAACAAAGAACACUGCACUUUCAGAACAGUAUAAUCCAGAGCAAGGUGUUUCUAGAGCUGCCCUGAGACAAAGGAGGUAUAGAGAGAGCUUACAAAGAAAUGGGGUCUAUGAAGAGUACAAGAGGCAGCAAGCACUCCGUUCAGCUGCUUGGCGGCGGCGUGAAAAGACAGAAGAAGAGAGAGAAAGAGAGAGAGCACUGGCAAGAAUAAGGGCAAGACGUUACAGAGAGAGACUGAAAGCUGCGGUUGGAUGUAUAAAAAAAUCAACAACCACCUAAAUGGCCACCUGAGUAGUGUUCAGUUAUGUAAUUUAUUUACAUAGUAGCAUCUAGCAUAGAAUGGAAUAUGUAUAGGAAAUAAUCAAACUGUGUAUAUAAUGUGUAUUUGAUUCACCAGUAAUGACAGUUAUUUUUUUUUUUAACACAAAUGCUCAGAUUGUUGCCAUCACCUUUUACCUUUAAAACUGUGGUCUUUUUUCCAAACUUGGUUACUGUAUUAUCAUACCUUCAGUGCUACCGUUUAUUUAUUAUAAAUUAUUGCCAGCUUUUGUUGUAAACAAACUGAUUUGUAAGUAGAUGUACAGUCCUACUUGAGAGUUUGAGAACUUGUAAAACUGUUACUUUUUAUUAAUGAAUUUCUUGUUGAAUCAAAAUGACACCUUCCCUUUCAAAAGAAAAAAGUCUGUAUACCCUGAAAUUCUAUUUAUUGUUUAAAAAAAAGAUAUGCUAAAUAGAAUAAAAAUUACUUCAUAUUAAUUAGCUAAUGUGGAAGAAGUAAGAAAAUCGUUUAUUUCGUCAGUACAUUCCAGCCUAUGACAAAAAUGUUCCUUCUUUACAUCUGCCUUUCUUACAAAUUUGCUUGAACUACUCCAGAAUUAUUGAGUGUUUUGGGUUAAAGACAACCCUUAGGUCUUGACAAAAUAUUUCAAUCAAGUUGUAGUCUGGACUUUGUCAUUCCAGAAUACAGUAUUUUUCUCUCACAAUCCAUUGUAGAUAGAUUUAAUCAAUUGCUAAGGAUCAUUUUUCUGCUGAAUUCUUCUAACUUUCAGCCUGAAUCAUAUGAUUAUGGACAUCUUCAGAACAAAAAUCAAAAAUGAAUGUUUUGUUUGGAAUAACAAAUGUAAAUUUUCUUGUUGCUGUCCUGUGUAGUUUUGAAUGAUGUUCAUCAUCUUAAGUAGUAACACUGUUUUGCUUACUAUUUGUCUUUUAGUGUACUUAAAUUACAAAUGUUUUUUGCAAUUUCUCUUAACCCUAUCACACUAAUGAGCAUUAACAAAACUGUUCAAGAAUCCUCUUUAGCUGGUCUUAUGGUAUAUCACAGAAAUCUGUGUAGGACCAAAUUCAGAUGUUUUCUCUUAACCUUAAACCGAGUACUGGUGUGAUCAUGUUCAUACAGAAUAAGGUUUCAUGCUCAUCUGCCUGUAGCAAUUCUGAAAAGGUUAAUGUUUCAUCGGCUAUGAUUUCAGGAAACACACUUUAACAAUGUAAUAAAAGACAAUUUCAGUUGCAUAAAAGCAAUAUUGAAGGGUCAGGAUAGGAGAUGGAUAAUACAUGCACAUCAUAGUUCGUUCUGCUAUUUGAGAUUUUGGGAUUAGAGUUCUUCCACCAGCUCAAUGCUUCCCUGUUCCUAAAUGGCUCACUAUCUCUCACCCUUUCACCACCUAAUAGCUGAUGUAUGAUGAGCAUCCUGGCGCAAUUAUGGUUGCCAUCCCAUCAUCCAGGUGGAUGCUGCACAUUGGUGAUGUUUGCGCUUAGAGUAGUAGCACUUUAUAAAUCUAAUGACUAAACAAGUUUUCCAGUCUUUUCUGGUGAAUUUUUUUUUUUUUAUACCAAAAAUCCUGUUUCAUUCCACCCUGCAAUUACACUCCCACAUUAUAGAGUACCUUUUGCUAUUAAGAUAGUAAAACAUGACUGUUCACCUUUAAUUUAGUAGAAUGUCUCUGAGAUUCUGUCCCAGAAGUUGGCUGUUUGGUUGGUUAACUUAUGUUAUACUUAACCAUGGUCACUUUUAUAUUAUAUGUACCAUGUUGUCCUAGCUAAUGAACUCUACUUACUGUACUUUUGCUGAUGAACUAGUUCUUAUUUUCCUGUUUGUUUCUUUUGCCUGCAACAGUACAUCAUUUUUAUUUUCAAAAAUUUGAAACUAGUUUUAAUUAAAUAAAUAGUUGAAUGGGAAAAUGUGCCAUUGCAAUGAAUUUUACUAAUAUCUUCUGUAGUACUAGGGUGUUGUACCGUGUUAGCCAUUAUGAAUGUAGAGAAAAGCCAAGCAAAAUGACACCUUUUAUUGGCUAACUAGAAAGAUUACAAUAUGCAAGCUUUCGAGGCAACUCAGGCCCCUUCUUCAGGCAAGAUGCUUGCAUAUUGUAAUCUUUCUAGUUAGCCAAUAAAAGGUGUCAUUUUGCUUGGCUUUUCUCUACUAAUAUCUUCCAAACUUUAAUGCAGAAUGACAUGUGUCUAAUAUUUUUUUUUGUAGUUUUACAUAAUCAGCAUUAAUAAUCAUUGUGAAUUUCCCACUUUUAAUCAAAUUAUCUUCUUUUUAUUUUUUUUUUUCCAAAAUUUGAUUAAUUCCCUCAUUUAGCCCUUAAAUUUUGCCGUUUUUUCUAACUGUGCUAAAUGAUCACAGGUAAUAAUGGAAUUAGCAGUUUCUCUUUAGAUUACAAUGACACACCUAUAACUUUACAGAAUACUUUGGACAGAAAGGAAAUAUAAGGAGUGGAGUUCUGUAAACAUUUCUUAAACUUUCACAGUGAGGUAAGGACCAAAUACAGAUUUCUAGAGUUGCGUCUUUGUAAGAAGCAGACAAAACAAGUGAAUAUCAGUUAAAUGUUCAAGUACAGGUGAAGUUGACAUCAAAUAUGCAUGACAAUGUUGGAUUAAAUAAAAAACCUCAAGCAUCUUUGACACACUCUAAGCAAUUUUAUAUUUAUUGUGGAAAUUCAAAAUGCAUAAGUUUCUCCAACUGUUCAUUCUACACAGAUUUGCAUUAUAAUUAACAUACUUUGAAUUGUAGCACUACGCAUAUUGUUUAGAAAUCAUAACCCUAAUUUCACUGUUCUUUAAAGUAAGAAAAAAAAACUUUCAUUAUUGCCUCCUUUACCCAGCUUUGAAAUUAGCUCAGAACCAAUAAUACACAUUUUAUGUAUGCCUUUUGAGUGUAGUGAUGUGACCACUCAGCUGUUAGUUGUAACUUAUGUAUCUUGUAGUAUCACAGAUUUGAAUUAGUUAAAAA